GUUGUUGGGUAGGGGAGCGUUCUGUAAGCCUGUGAAGGUGGCCUGUGAGGGUUGCUGGAGGUAUCAGAAGUGCGAAUGCUGACAUAAGUAACGAUAAAGCGGGUGAAAAGCCCGCUCGCCGGAAGACCAAGGGUUCCUGUCCAACGUUAAUCGGGGCAGGGUGAGUCGACCCCUAAGGCGAGGCCGAAAGGCGUAGUCGAUGGGAAACGGGUUAAUAUUCCCGUACUUGGUGUUACUGCGAAGGGGGGACGGAGAAGGCUAUGUUGGCCGGGCGACGGUUGUCCCGGUUUAAGCGUGUAGGUGUGUGUUCCAGGUAAAUCCGGUUCACUUUAACACUGAGGCGUGACGACGAGGCACUACGGUGCUGAAGCAACAAAUGCCCUGCUUCCAGGAAAAGCCUCUAAGCAUCAGGUAACAUCAAAUCGUACCCCAAACCGACACAGGUGGUCAGGUAGAGAAUACCAAGGCGCUUGAGAGAACUCGGGUGAAGGAACUAGGCAAAAUGGUGCCGUAACUUCGGGAGAAGGCACGCUGACAUGUAGGUGAAGUGAUUUACUCAUGGAGCUGAAGUCAGUCGAAGAUACCAGCUGGCUGCAACUGUUUAUUAAAAACACAGCACUGUGCAAACACGAAAGUGGACGUAUACGGUGUGACGCCUGCCCGGUGCCGGAAGGUUAAUUGAUGGGGUCAGCGCAAGCGAAGCUCCUGAUCGAAGCCCCGGUAAACGGCGGCCGUAACUAUAACGGUCCUAAGGUAGCGAAAUUCCUUGUCGGGUAAGUUCCGACCUGCACGAAUGGCGUAAUGAUGGCCAGGCUGUCUCCACCCGAGACUCAGUGAAAUUGAACUCGCUGUGAAGAUGCAGUGUACCCGCGGCAAGACGGAAAGACCCCGUGAACCUUUACUAUAGCUUGACACUGAACAUUGAGCCUUGAUGUGUAGGAUAGGUGGGAGGCUUUGAAGUGUGGACGCCAGUCUGCAUGGAGCCGACCUUGAAAUACCACCCUUUAAUGUUUGAUGUUCUAACGUGGACCCGUUAUCCGGGUUGCGGACAGUGUCUGGUGGGUAGUUUGACUGGGGCGGUCUCCUCCUAAAGAGUAACGGAGGAGCACGAAGGUUGGCUAAUCCUGGUCGGACAUCAGGAGGUUAGUGCAAUGGCAUAAGCCAGCUUGACUGCGAGCGUGACGGCGCGAGCAGGUGCGAAAGCAGGUCAUAGUGAUCCGGUGGUUCUGAAUGGAAGGGCCAUCGCUCAACGGAUAAAAGGUACUCCGGGGAUAACAGGCUGAUACCGCCCAAGAGUUCAUAUCGACGGCGGUGUUUGGCACCUCGAUGUCGGCUCAUCACAUCCUGGGGCUGAAGUAGGUCCCAAGGGUAUGGCUGUUCGCCAUUUAAAGUGGUACGCGAGCUGGGUUUAGAACGUCGUGAGACAGUUCGGUCCCUAUCUGCCGUGGGCGCUGGAGAACUGAGGGGGGCUGCUCCUAGUACGAGAGGACCGGAGUGGACGCAUCACUGGUGUUCGGGUUGUCAUGCCAAUGGCACUGCCCGGUAGCUAAAUGCGGAAGAGAUAAGUGCUGAAAGCAUCUAAGCACGAAACUUGCCCCGAGAUGAGUUCUCCCUGAGACUUAGAGUCUCCUGAAGGAACGUUGAAGACGACGACGUUGAUAGGCCGGGUGUGUAAGCGCAGCGAUGCGUUGAGCUAACCGGUACUAAUGAACCGUGAGGCUUAACCUU
This 1728-nucleotide ribosomal RNA is filed under the name Salmonella enterica subsp. enterica serovar Tennessee str. CDC07-0191. RNAcentral describes it as "bacterial LSU rRNA". It matches the Rfam family "Bacterial large subunit ribosomal RNA", at positions 1220 to 2925 of the family's 2925-position model. Lineage: Bacteria; Pseudomonadati; Pseudomonadota; Gammaproteobacteria; Enterobacterales; Enterobacteriaceae. The record is from RNAcentral.